RNAcentral lists this ribosomal RNA (253 nucleotides) under uncultured bacterium. RNAcentral describes it as "partial 16S ribosomal RNA". It matches the Rfam family "Bacterial small subunit ribosomal RNA", at positions 524 to 776 of the family's 1533-position model. The record is from RNAcentral.
UACGGGGGGGGCAAGCGUUGUUCGGAAUUACUGGGCGUAAAGGGCUCGUAGGCGGUUUGUCGCGUCGGGAGUGAAAUCAUCUGGCUUAACUGGGUGCUUGCUUUCGAUACGGGCAGACUAGAGGUAUGCAGGGGAGAACGGAAUUCCUGGUGUAGCGGUGAAAUGCGCAGAUAUCAGGAGGAACACCGGUGGCGAAGGCGGUUCUCUGGGCAUGAUCUGACGCUGAGGAGCGAAAGUGUGGGGAGCGAACAGG